ACGAAGCUGAGAGCUAUCAGCAGCGAGAGCAAUUUCAACUCUCACAAAAUACGUGUUUAUGAUAUCUUUAGUAGUAAGGACCACAUUCAGAGCUGACUGAGAGACAAAACGUCCUGUAUUGCGAGCUGGAAGUAACUGAUCGGGGAAGAUUAUACUACUGACAGCCUAUAUGGUUAACAAAGCUAAGCGAGGAUAAAGCUGCUGACGUGAGGGAGUUAAAGAGUUGUUGCAUUGGAGCAAAUUGUCACUUGCAGCACCCUAGAACUUUGUUACUCUGCUGUCGCUACUGCACUUUCCACUGUGUUACUCUAUUGUUAAGAACUUUCUACCAUGAAGAACGUCGAAGAGUUCCAGCGGUAAUACUGGCAGGUCAAAAUCCAGACCAAUCACUGAAGUCUGAAGAACUUCAUGAAAUGAGGAUUCACGUCCAGUGAAUAUAACUCUUUGCAUUUUACCUGGAAGGCCUCUGAGCUCAGGCACUGAAAUGGCUAGAGAUGCAAUUUUUGAAACUUUAGAUCUGUGGCUGGCAAAGAACUAGGUCUGUAGAAGAGAAUUUAUGGUCUGUAAUCAGGUUAAGGGGAAGAAAACGAACAAUAAAAGCAGCAAUACUGACUUGACUGAUAUCCUAACAACAAUUUAUGAGAUGUAUCUGGCUUUUGGUAGUGCUGCCUGACCUAACACCUCAGCUGGAAUAGCACUGAAACUCAUGGCAGGCCUGUCAGCAUUGAAGAGAAUGGAGAGGUGAUCCCUGCAGCUCCAUUUUCCUGCGGACUUACUAAUGGCAUCUGGUACAGUUUUAUUGCUGAGACCGUGGUGAAAUCACUCCAAGAUAAAAUUUCUGACUCUUCAAGCCUAUGACCUGACAGAAAUGGAACUUCCUGAAAUGAAGUCAUCAAGGAGCCCCUUGUACAGCUUUACUUAACAAGAGAAUCUUCUAAUGGUGGACAAAAGUACAAGAUGCUACAAAAUGAUGUUCUUUCUUGCUUUUAGAUGGUUUAAAUGUUUAUCAUUAACAAAAGAGAAUGUCAGAGCUUUGCCAAACACAACAGAUAAUUGUUUUCUGUUCUAGUGCAAGCAUUUGUCCUUUUUGAUAUGAGUAACAAGUGUGCUGAGUUUGUGAUAAUGGGAAGCUACGCUCACUCAUUCUGUUGAGAGGCUGUCAGCAGACCUUUCCUAUGCUUGUAGUGUGAUUUGAAGAUAAUGUGCUGCAUUUACCUAAAUGGACGGGAGGUAAUUCUGUCCUUGACCUUCUUUUCAAGAAUGACAAUGUGUUGGCCAAACAUAGUGUUGCAUCCUGUCUCACAUAGGGAAUAAUUUAUGAGAAAGUACUGACUGUUUCGAAGACUUCAACUUCAAAGCUUUGGCACUUUGUUAUGUAGUCUUCAGCUUAUUCCUCCAAAAACUGUUUUUUUUUCCCCACUAACAUUGUGUAUGUAACCUUGGCUCCCAGUCCCCUCCUCACUAAAAUGUUACCU
Gallus gallus (chicken) is the source of this 1475-nucleotide long non-coding RNA. NCBI's taxonomy places the organism in Eukaryota, Metazoa, Chordata, Aves, Galliformes, Phasianidae. The record is from Ensembl.